GACUCCAUGAAGUCGGAAUCGCUAGUAAUCGUAGAUCAGAAUGCUACGGUGAAUACGUUCCCGGGCCUUGUACACACCGCCCGUCACACCAUGGGAGUGGGUUGCAAAAGAAGUGGCUAGUUUAACCUUCGGGAGGACGGUCACCACUUUGUGAUUCAUGACUGGGGUGAAGUCGUAACAAGGUAACCCUAGGGGAACCUGGGGUUGGAUCACCUCCUUAUCUUGAAG
RNAcentral lists this ribosomal RNA (228 nucleotides) under Colwellia sp. 6M3. RNAcentral's name for it is "partial 16S ribosomal RNA". It matches the Rfam family "Bacterial small subunit ribosomal RNA", at positions 1314 to 1533 of the family's 1533-position model. The record is from RNAcentral. Lineage: Bacteria; Pseudomonadati; Pseudomonadota; Gammaproteobacteria; Alteromonadales; Colwelliaceae.